GUAUCUGUGGUCCAGUUGGUAGAGUGUGGCAUUUUCAAAGCCAAUGUCUUGGGAUCGAAUCUCAGCAAAAGCA
Molecule: non-coding RNA, 73 nt
Organism: Danionella cerebrum
Lineage: Eukaryota; Metazoa; Chordata; Actinopteri; Cypriniformes; Danionidae
Source: the annotation of a GenBank genome assembly